Acanthosepion pharaonis is the source of this 113-nucleotide non-coding RNA. The record is from the annotation of a GenBank genome assembly. NCBI's taxonomy places the organism in Eukaryota, Metazoa, Mollusca, Cephalopoda, Sepiida, Sepiidae.
UUACGGCCACAUCACAUUGAAGCACUGGUUCCCAUAUGACCACAGAAGUUAAGCACUGUCGAGCGUGGUCAGUACCUAGUGAGUGACUGCUUGGCAGUACCAGGUCCUGUAAG